AUUGAACGCUGGCGGCAGGCCUAACACAUGCAAGUCGAGCGAGCGGCGGACGGGUGAGUAAUGUCUGGGAAACUGCCUGAUGGAGGGGGAUAACUACUGGAAACGGUAGCUAAUACCGCAUACCAUCAGAUGUGCCCAGAUGGGAUUAGCUAGUAGGUGUGGUAACGGCUCACCUAGGCGACGAUCCCUAGCUGGGCUGAGAGGAGGACAAGCCACACUGGAACUGAGACACGUGCCAGACUCGUACGGUAGGCAGCAGUGGGAAUAUUGCGCAAUGGGCGCAAGCCUGAUGCAGCAAUGACGCGUGUGUGAAGAAGGCCUUCGGGUUGUAAAGCACUUUCAGCGGGGAGGCGUUACCCGCAGAAGAAGCACCGGCUAACUACGUGCCAGCAGCCGCGGUAAUAC
Molecule: ribosomal RNA, 405 nt
Filed under: uncultured bacterium
Lineage: Bacteria
Description: partial 16S ribosomal RNA
Rfam family: Bacterial small subunit ribosomal RNA
Source: RNAcentral